Molecule: ribosomal RNA, 882 nt
Filed under: Enterococcus faecalis
Lineage: Bacteria; Bacillati; Bacillota; Bacilli; Lactobacillales; Enterococcaceae
Description: partial 23S ribosomal RNA
Rfam family: Bacterial large subunit ribosomal RNA
Source: RNAcentral
AGUACGGCGGAACACGAGAAAUUCCGUCGGAAUCCGCGGGGACCAUCCCGCAAGGCUAAAUACUCCCUAGUGACCGAUAGUGAACCAGUACCGUGAGGGAAAGGUGAAAAGCACCCCGGAAGGGGAGUGAAAUAGAUCCUGAAACCGUGUGCCUACAACAAGUCAAAGCUCGUUAAUGAGUGAUGGCGUGCCUUUUGUAGAAUGAACCGGCGAGUUACGAUUGCAUGCGAGGUUAAGUCGAAGAGACGGAGCCGCAGCGAAAGCGAGUCUGAAUAGGGCGAAUGAGUAUGUAGUCGUAGACCCGAAACCAUGUGAUCUACCCAUGUCCAGGUUGAAGGUGCGGUAAAACGCACUGGAGGACCGAACCCACGUACGUUGAAAAGUGCGGGGAUGAGGUGUGGGUAGCGGAGAAAUUCCAAACGAACUUGGAGAUAGCUGGUUCUCUCCGAAAUAGCUUUAGGGCUAGCCUCGGAAUUGAGAAUGAUGGAGGUAGAGCACUGUUUGGACUAGGGGCCCAUCUCGGGUUACCGAAUUCAGAUAAACUCCGAAUGCCAUUCAUUUAUAUCCGGGAGUCAGACUGCGAGUGAUAAGAUCCGUAGUCGAAAGGGAAACAGCCCAGACCACCAGCUAAGGUCCCAAAAUAUAUGUUAAGUGGAAAAGGAUGUGGGGUUGCACAGACAACUAGGAUGUUGGCUUAGAAGCAGCCACCAUUUAAAGAGUGCGUAAUAGCUCACUAGUCGAGUGACCCUGCGCCGAAAAUGUACCGGGGCUAAACAUAUUACCGAAGCUGUGGACUACACCAUUAGGUGUAGUGGUAGGAGAGCGUUCUAAGGGCGUUGAAGGUCGAUCGUGAGGACGGCUGGAGCGCUUAGAAGUGAGAAU